UACGAAGGGGGCUAGCGUUGUUCGGAAUCACUGGGCGUAAAGGGUGCGUAGGCGGGAUCUUAAGUCAGGGGUGAAAUCCCGAGGCUCAACCUCGGAACUGCCUUUGAUACUGGGGUCCUUGAGUCCGGAAGAGGUGAGUGGAACUGCGAGUGUAGAGGUGAAAUUCGUAGAUAUUCGCAAGAACACCGGUGGCGAAGGCGGCUCACUGGUCCGGAACUGACGCUGAGGCACGACAGCGUGGGGAGCAAACAGG
RNAcentral lists this ribosomal RNA (253 nucleotides) under uncultured bacterium. Its description in RNAcentral is "partial 16S ribosomal RNA". It matches the Rfam family "Bacterial small subunit ribosomal RNA", at positions 524 to 776 of the family's 1533-position model. The record is from RNAcentral. RNAcentral also lists the same sequence under 1 other name.